UACAGAGGUGGCAAGCGUUGUUCGGAAUUACUGGGCGUAAAGGGCGCGUAGGCGGUCUUGUAAGUCUCGUGUGAAAUCCCUCGGCUUAACUGAGGAACUGCACGGGAUACUGCUUGACUUGAGUUCGGGAGAGGGAAGCGGAAUUCCGGGUGUAGCGGUGAAAUGCGUAGAUAUCUGGAGGAACACCGGUGGCGAAGGCGGCAUCCUGGACCAACACUGACGCUGAGGAGCGAAAGCCAGGGGAGCAAACGGG
RNAcentral lists this ribosomal RNA (253 nucleotides) under uncultured bacterium. RNAcentral describes it as "partial 16S ribosomal RNA". It matches the Rfam family "Bacterial small subunit ribosomal RNA", at positions 524 to 776 of the family's 1533-position model. The record is from RNAcentral.